Molecule: ribosomal RNA, 315 nt
Filed under: Spodoptera frugiperda (fall armyworm)
Lineage: Eukaryota; Metazoa; Arthropoda; Insecta; Lepidoptera; Noctuidae
Description: partial small subunit ribosomal RNA
Source: RNAcentral
CCCUAUUAUUAAAAUUUAAAUUGAAAAUACUAAAAUAGUAGAUAAUUAUUUAUUGAAACUUAAAUAAUUUGGCGGUAUUUUAGUUCAUUUAGAGGAAUCUGUUUAAUAAUUGAUAAUCCACGAAUAAAUUUACUUAAUUUUUUAUUUUGUAUAUCGUUGUUAAAAAAAUAUUUUUUAAUAAUAAUAAUAUUUAAAAAUUUUGAUUAAAAAUUAAAUCAGAUCAAGAUGCAGAUUAUAAUUAAGAAUAUAAUGGAUUACAAUAAAUUUAUUUAGAUGAAUAUUAAUUUGUAAAAGUUAAUUGAAGGUGGAUUUAAA